RNAcentral lists this ribosomal RNA (578 nucleotides) under Cangshanaltica sp. AFD-246. RNAcentral describes it as "SSU rRNA". It matches the Rfam family "Eukaryotic small subunit ribosomal RNA", at positions 64 to 621 of the family's 1831-position model. The record is from RNAcentral. Lineage: Eukaryota; Metazoa; Arthropoda; Insecta; Coleoptera; Chrysomelidae.
UACAAGCCAAAUUAAGGUGAAACCGCGAAAGGCUCAUUAAAUCAGUUAUGGUUCCUUAGAUCGUACACACAUUUACUUGGAUAACUGUGGUAAUUCUAGAGCUAAUACAUGCAAACAGAGUUCCGACCGGAGACGGAAGGAGCGCUUUUAUUAGAUCAAAACCAAUCGGUGGCGGGCUUGCUCGUCAUCGUAAUACUUGGUGACUCUGAAUAACUUUACGCUGAUCGCACGGUCUCGCACCGGCGACGCAUCUUUCAAAUGUCUGCCUUAUCAACUGUCGAUGGUAGGUUCUGCGCCUACCAUGGUUGUAACGGGUAACGGGGAAUCAGGGUUCGAUUCCGGAGAGGGAGCCUGAGAAACGGCUACCACAUCCAAGGAAGGCAGCAGGCGCGCAAAUUACCCACUCCCGGCACGGGGAGGUAGUGACGAAAAAUAACGAUACGGGACUCAUCCGAGGCCCCGUAAUCGGAAUGAGUACACUCUAAACCCUUUAACGAGGAUCAAUUGGAGGGCAAGUCUGGUGCCAGCAGCCGCGGUAAUUCCAGCUCCAAUAGCGUAUAUUAAAGUUGUUGCGGGUU